This 512-nucleotide unclassified non-coding RNA is filed under the name Hevea brasiliensis (rubber tree). Lineage: Eukaryota; Viridiplantae; Streptophyta; Magnoliopsida; Malpighiales; Euphorbiaceae. The record is from RNAcentral.
AUUAUCUUUAUCCCUUACCUUGGCUGGCCACUUUCCCUCAUUUUCCUUCCUUCUUUUCUUACUUCUUUAACAACCAAUUCUCUUCAAUUUGAAGAGAGAACCCCCAAGCAAAGACCUUGAAUCCUACAAAUUUUGAAGGCCCAAGUGAAGAAGUAAGGAAAAGUUGAAGAUUCAAGCUUGAGUAGGCUGAUUUCUUAAGGAACUAAGGGAGAGUUGAAGGAAGGAAAGGGUAGCAGCUGGUUUUCAUUAAGGUAACACAAGCAAGGAUAAAGGUUCAAUUUGGGAGUAGAGGCAAAUGAAGACUUUUGUUCAUGUUUGAGACACAUUCUUUUAUACACAUUUAGAUGAUUAUAUUGUACUAGGUUAUUUUGCGUUGUAAUGUAAUCCUUUAAAUGUGUAAAUUUUGAUGUUGUAAAGCACAUGGAUGCUACAAAACAAGUUUUGUAUCUUAUCAAAGUUUUUAUAAGUAAACAUUAGAAAGUUUCAAGCAUAUAAUGUAUAUUAAAUUGUGG